CCCCGCCCCCACUGGUUUUUGCUGUCGAUCUCGUCCUCUUUUGAUCGGUUUCUCGUUUCCAUGAGAGGGAAAGCCAGAUGCAUUAUCUAUGAAAAAAAAUUGAAACUUGCAAGCAUUAAAGGUGAAGAACUUGAUUUUUUGGAAGUCGAUUAAUCAAAAUGUUUUGUCGAUUGUGUUAAUCUGUGCGGCUGAUGGGCUUUUCGAAGCGAGCAGAAGUCGGUAAUGAUCUUCUUUGGGGUACUUGUGAGUCUGCGAUUCGAUUUCUAACGCAAGUUUUAAUAGAUGAAUGAGACGAUGGAUCAAAAUUCACCCUUUUAGAUUCAUGGGGGCCUCUUGCCUGGGCUGCUCUUUUUCAAAGGCAAUUUGCAGAUGGAUGAAUUAAUUGGAAUCCUGAAGAAUGCUAAAAUGGGGUUUACAUUUCGAUCUUUGAUGAUCUAGGGAAAUUCGUACUUGUGGAUGUUGCUUGAUACAAUCUCAUGUGUUUGCUAUAUUCUGGAUCUUGUAUUAUGCAAUCAGGAAGGCCAUCAAAUUUUCUAGGACAGCUGUUUUUUUUAGAUUAAGCUGACUUGUAAGUAAUCCAAAUGUGACGAAACAUAAGUCAUCAGACUUGACUUUAAUGGAAUAUUAUGACAUCAAUGAUAGAAGAAAACCUUCACUUUGUA
This is a long non-coding RNA of Musa acuminata AAA Group (dessert banana), 662 nucleotides long. RefSeq lists it as uncharacterized. The transcript is spliced from 2 exons. The record is from RefSeq and is a predicted model, not a curated record. Lineage: Eukaryota; Viridiplantae; Streptophyta; Magnoliopsida; Zingiberales; Musaceae.